RNAcentral lists this ribosomal RNA (468 nucleotides) under uncultured bacterium. Its description in RNAcentral is "partial 16S ribosomal RNA". It matches the Rfam family "Bacterial small subunit ribosomal RNA", at positions 28 to 507 of the family's 1533-position model. The record is from RNAcentral.
GACGAACGCUGGCGGCGUGCUUAACACAUGCAAGUCGAACGGAGAGGCCCUGCUUUUGUGGGGUGCUCGAGUGGCGAACGGGUGAGUAACACGUGAGUAACCUGCCCUUGACUUUGGGAUAACUUCAGGAAACUGGGGCUAAUACCGGAUAGGAGCUCCUGCUGCAUGGUGGGGGUUGGAAAGUUUCGGCGGUUGGGGAUGGACUCGCGGCUUAUCAGCUUGUUGGUGGGGUAGUGGCUUACCAAGGCUUUGACGGGUAGCCGGCCUGGGAGGGUGACCGGCCACAUUGGGACUGAGAUACGGACCAGACUCCUACGGGAGGCAGCAGUGGGGAAUAUUGCCCAAUGGGCGGAAGCCUGAUGCAGCAACGCCGCGUGCGGGAUGACGGCCUUCGGGUUGUAAACCGCUUUCGCCUGUGACGAAGCGUGAGUGACGGUAAUGGGUAAAGAAGCACCGGCUAACUACGUG